AUAAACGCCGGCGGUGUGCCUAAUACAUGCAAGUCGUACGCAGGUGCUUGCAUCUGAGUGGCGGACGGGUGAGUAACACGUAGGUAACCUGCCCCGGAGCGGGGGAUAACAUUUGGAAACAGAUGAUAAUACCGCAUAACAACAAAGCCGCAUGGCUUUUGUUGAAAGAUGUUUGUAUCACUCUGGAUGGACCUGCGGUGCAUUAGCUUGUUGGUGGGGUAACGGCCUACCAAGGCGAUGAUGCAUAGCCGAGUUGAGAGACUGAUCGGCCACAAUGGGACUGAGACACGGCCCAAACUCCUACGGGAGGCAGCAGUGGGGAAUCUUCCGCAAUGGACGCAAGUCUGAUGGAGCAACGCCGCGUGAGUGAAGAAGGCUUUCGGGUCGUAAAACUCUGUUGUUGGAGAAGAAUGGGAGAGUAACUGUUCACGCAGUGACGGUAUCCAACCAGAAAGUCACGGCUAACUACGUGCCAGCAGCCGCGGUAAUACGUAGGUGGCAAGCGUUAUCCGGAUUUAUUGGGCGUAAAGCGAGCGCAGGCGGUUGCUUAGGUCUGAUGUGAAAGCCUUCGGCUUAACCGAAGAAGUGCAUCGGAAACCGGGCGACUUGAGUGCAGAAGAGGACAGUGGAAUUCCUAGUGUAGCGGUGAAAUGCGUAGAUAUUAGGAAGAACACCAAUGGCGAAGGCAGGUCUCUGGGCCGUUACUGACGCUGAGGAGCGAAAGCGUGGGGAGCGAACAGGAUUAGAUACCCUGGUAGUCCACGCCGUAAACGAUGAGUACUAAGUGUUGGAAGUCAAAUUUCAUCAGUGCCGCAGCUAACGCAUUAAGUACUCCGCCUGGGGAGUACGACCGCAAGGUUGAAACUCAAAGGAAUUGACGGGGGCCCGCACAAGCGGUGGAGCAUGUGGUUUAAUUCGAAGCAACGCGAAGAACCUUACCAGGUCUUGACAUCUUGCGCCAACCUCAGAGAUGAGGCGUUCCCUUCGGGGACGCAAAGACAGGUGGUGCAUGGUCGUCGUCAGCUCGUGUCGUGAGAUGUUGGGUUAAGUCCCGCAACGAGCGCAACCCUUGUUACUAGUUGCCAGCAUUUAGUUGGGCACUCUAGUGAGACUGCCGGUGACAAACCGGAGGAAGGUGGGGACGACGUCAGAUCAUCAUGCCCCUUAUGACCUGGGCUACACACGUGCUACAAUGGACGGUACAACGAGUUGCGAACUCGCGAGAGUAAGCUAAUCUCUUAAAGCCGUUCUCAGUUCGGACUGUAGGCUGCAACUCGCCUACACGAAGUCGGAAUCGCUAGUAAUCGCGGAUCAGCAUGCCGCGGUGAAUACGUUCCCGGGCCUUGUACACACCGCCC
This 1358-nucleotide ribosomal RNA is filed under the name human gut metagenome. Its description in RNAcentral is "bacterial SSU rRNA". It matches the Rfam family "Bacterial small subunit ribosomal RNA", at positions 29 to 1395 of the family's 1533-position model. The record is from RNAcentral.